UAAUUAGAAUUUUAUUUCGGAGCAUAUGAUACAAUCAAGUAACUUAAGUACAAAGAUGAUUAAGCUUGGCAAACAAGGAUAUGUCAUGUUUCUCAAUCCGAGAGAUAAGAAGCACAGAGCCAAAGGCCCUGCAAAAAGGCAGGGGAGAACUGAAUUGUUGUUUCCUAAAACUUUGCAUUAAGAUCAACAUGACUUUCUAGUCAUUAAAUAUUCUGCUAGAUUUCGAACUUGCAAAUAUGGUCUGUUUUAAUGAAAUUGCAGAAUGUUGUCUCACGUCUCAAGAACUUUGAUUUCACUUCUUUUUCAAGGAAAAAAAAAUGGUUUCACUUAGUUUGCAGAAGUGUCCUGAACUCAAUUUUCAGACAAAAGUAUGGUUCAAGACUCCUUGGUGAGUGAAAGUAAUUCUUCAUCAUAUUUAUUCCUUUAUUUUUCUUUUUGGAUAUCAUUGUAUUUAUUCUUGUGCAAGGACAAGUACAUGCAUACUCAAACCUUGCAAUUGCCCAGCAUACAGAACUGAGCCAACAGAUGAAACCCGUGGUCAAAUAGGCAAGAAAGACUAAGUCUGACAUCUGGGAAAUGCGCGGACAUGAAGGCCCCCAUCUACAUGAAGAGUGAUCAUCGUCCUGUAGGUGACAGAUUUAUUCUCAUCACUCAGUUUGAACACAAAGUAGUGCACAAGAACAGCCGAGAAGAUCUUCAUCUGCCUAUAAGCAAAUUCCUUGCCUAAACAAAUUCGAGGCCCUGCCUGUAAACCAUUAGAAAAUAAAGUUCAGUAUGUUCACAUCUUUAGCCGGUGAAAUCACACUUGUGAAACAAUAUGAGAAGUUUGAACUUUCGGAAAAAGACCCAGAACCAGAAAUCAAAUGCCGUUAUACUGAUUUUUUACCCUUUUUUCCUAUUUGAGGUUUUAUUUUACACCAAGUGCCAAUCAGAAUAAUAAUGCUUUGGCCGAUCUGGAAACGAAGCGUACAAGAAUUUCUAAUUUGUAGUAUGUUCUGCACACCUGGAAUGCUGUAAACUUAAAAGGGCUUUCUGGUUGGAACAUCCCAUCCUCAUCAAGCCAUCUCUCUGGUCUGAACUCCUCUGCAUCAUCACCCCAUAUGAAUUUCAUUCUGCCCAUUGCAUAAGGUUGAUAACAAACCAUAUCUCCUUUCCUCACACUGAACCCAUCUGGAAGAGUAUCAUCAGAAAAGCAUAUCUUUGGAUCCUGCAAUCAAAGUGAAGAGGUAGUGAGAACCAAAGAAAACCCCAGAACAUAGAAAGGAAGCUAAUUUCUAGCCUUCCCGAUACGCCUUGAAUGGAUAUCAGUUUAUAGAUGCAUGUUCUUUGAUGUGCAUUAACAAGUUCAGUUGGAGGAUUCAAGAUUCAAGGCAACUUUGCUUACAACUGGAACAGCGGGGUAGAGCCUUAAUGUUUCAGUUAAGGCUGCAUGGAGAUAGUGCAUUUUUCCUAGAGCUUCUUCGCUCAAGAUAGCAGCAAAUUCAGCAAAAUCUUUAACCUCCAUCGUGUCAGUUGCUUCCUUCACUUCUUGUGCAACCUUUUCUUGAACAUCAGGAUGCUUGCAGAGCAUGUAAAUAAACCACGACAGAGUAGCUGCUGUUGUGUCUUUCCCAGCAAUUAUGAAGUUAAGGAUUAUAUCUCGCACGUAUGUUGGGUCAGUGUCAUUCAAUUGCAGAAAUCUGGAUAAAAUGUCUUCCUUUUUCAUCUGCACAAUCCGUAGAAUACAAUUAUUUCAAAAUUCUACAUAGAAACCGUUAAUUAUAAGUAGCUCUAUUCUUCUAGUUCACUCACAGAAGAAUCGUUCGAGUUACGCAUCUGCUCAAUCUUGUUGUGGAUCAGCUUAUACACAAAAUUAUCAACCACUUUUGUACUUUUCUUUAGUUUUGCUUCUGAUCCAAUAUUUAAAAAUCUCUUGAUCUUCCAGAAGAUAUCAACAUAUCGGAAGAGGAUUGCUGCGCUUGAAUCAUCAAAAGCAGCUGUAAACUCUUUGCCUUCUAAAUUUGAUCCACACACGCUGUCUAGUUCAACUCCAAAUCCAACUUUGAAUAUCGAAUCUAAAGUCGAUUUCAUAAACAAGUCCUGCACAACAUUUCGCUAUAACAGGUUCAUAUUAUAUAUCACUCCGUCAUGGAUCUUGCCAUUAGGUGAACUUACCUGAAUAUCCAUUAUCUUGUUGGACUUCGCUGCGUCAGACACUAUAUUUGCAAGCUUUGCUGCAUUUUUCCGAAAGACUACAGUGCUGAAAUCCCUCAACACCUUCGUUGAGAAUUCAUAGCUUGACACUUUCCUCUGUUGACGCCACUUAUCACCAUCGACUGCGAAAAUCCCAUCACCUAGUAAACCCUUUAGCAAGCUGUAAUUGUACUCACCCUGCACAGAAAAUUAGACAAAUUGAAAAACCAAAACGACCCCACCAUUCUGCCGUAGCCAUAUAAUUAUCAAAAACUCUUUCGUUAUAGCAAAUAACCCUGCAGCACAUUAGCAUUUGUAGUUGACUUAAUUGUGACUAUAGAUUGAGACACUCUUUCAUAUUCUAAUUCUGGGUGUUACUGUCUAAGCUACUUCUUCCAACCAAUGACAGGGGGAGUUCAAAAUUUUCUAGACCAACAAAUUACCUUGCCAUAAUUCUGGAAAUUUGUUUUGAGAAUAUAUUCAACGUUGUCUGGUUCCGAGGUAUAAACCUCACUCCUGAAAGGGCUAAGCAGCCUGUAGUUCCUGUACUUCCCAGCAAGAUCAGUCAUAUAGUGAUGCACUCUUUUGAAGUUGAGGAGCUGGUUAAAAAGUGUUCCGCCAACAGGAUGGUACUUGGUCUUGUUUUUUUUCUGCUUUUCUCUUAGUUUUGCUGCGAGGAACUUGACAGUGAAAAGGAUCAGGAUUAGAUUUAGAAACAAAGCGACCAAUGUAGCUGGGUUAGACAGAUCCAUGGAGAUGGAGGUCCUUUUUGGGUAAGCUGGUCGAUCAAUGUUAGCGGGUGAAGACUGAAGAAAACUAGAGGUCUUUUUAUAAUACUAAUAAUAUCAACGGGGAGAAAUCCUUUUGCUAAGUCAUUUCUCUUAACCAGACGUGUGACUAUAUUCGGACAAUCCGCAAACGUGUUUCUCUUAAAUUUUACGUGCACAUUGCUGAGAGUCCAACCAUGAGAGAGAUAUGCACCGACUUUCCUUCGUUGUCUCCUUUUUCGUUUUUAAAUUGUUAUAAGUUAUUAACUAAUUUCACCACAACCAAUUAACAAAACAAAGGGCAGGACUAGGUUUUUUUUUACUCAGUCAAUAUAACUAUUUAGAGAAAAUUGUGAAAAAUAACUCAUAAGGUGAUUUCAAAAAUAAUUAUCCAUAUAAUGUUAUCUGUUUUUACCAAAAAACAAACAUGAGUAAACCAAAAUGCUCUCAGAAACAUCCUGGCAAAUCAAUCUCCUAAUAUCUCUCUCGCUGUAAAGAAAAUAAAUACUCAGUUAUUUCAGCUCGCUCAACUCUUUCAGCUCUCUAAAUUAUAUCAGCUUUGUCAACUCUCUGUUAAGUACCAUCGUCAUCAACUCUCUUAGCUAUUUGAACUGUAUCAUCUAUAUGUACUUAUUAAAGAUAUAAAUUAAAGAAUAUAAAAGAAAACGAAGUAAAUGAAUAAUUGAAAAGACAAGUCGAGCCACUAAUUACUACAAUGAUCACUGUCUGAUCACGACAGCUAAAGCCACUGCAAUUGCUCGGCCAAUAAAGUUGACAAACUUUGUUGAAAUAGGACUUGCAUUGAAAAUCACGUCAGUUCAUACUAUCUUAGGAUCAUAUGUGACCAUUUUGUAUAAGCUAGCUUUCUUUCAAAUUAUGAUAACUAUGCAUUUAAUGAAUGAUUUAUAUGAUGAUUAGUAUGCAUUCUUAGGCCUAGCUACUGUUCAAAACUUAGUUGUUAAGUUUUGUUAUGUAUAUAAACUAAGUCAAUGCAUAUCAGAAAUAUGAAACCUACUGUUACAACAAAAACUGUCUUUACUUGCUCUGUUUCAUACUUAUCCUACAUCAACUAAAACACAACAAAACUUACUAAAUAAAGCAAUCUAUAUACCAACAAUGUCUUGGAAUUUAGCAAGUUUUAGUUUGUCCUCUUGGAAUGACAUAGAGGUCGAGGCCAUGCUGGAGGGUGAAGCCACAACAUGGUCCUAUCGUCUGCCAAGUUGAAGCGAAAGUAGUGAAUAAGGGAACUUUGUUGAGAUUUUCUUUAUCUGCUCAGAAGAAAUUAAGAAAAAAUUAUAUGGUGUAGAUACUUGAUUUUGAUUUUGAUUGUUAACAUAUUUCUUCAAUAUAAAGUAAAAUUAAUUUAUAAAACGUUGUAUUACUAUGUAAGAAGUAGUGUAGAUAAUUUAUAAUAAGUAGAAAAAUCACGUCAUUGUAUAAACUAGUGAAAAUAUCUUCGAAAUAAAUGAUGAGAUUUUUAAAUUAAUUUUUUUAAAAUGUUUUGAAGAGUUUGAUUUGAUAACUUAAAUACAUAAAUGAAAAUUUUCUAAAUACGUAUGCAUAAAAUCCACUAUCACCAUCAAUGACCUAAACAUUCAUAAGGCUUUAAUGCCUCAACAGUUGACAUUUUCUCAUUGGUAUGAAUAAAUUUCAUUAAUUACAAGAUUACUCAAUUCCAUAACCCUUCAAGAUAUUUUCUCAUUGAUUGUGUUCGAUUUGAUAAGGAUGUUAAUUUUUUUUUUUGAAUUACAAAUAUUUUUCAUUUUUUUAAAUAAUUAAGUGACGCACUUCUAAUGCCUCAGUAGCUGACAUUAAUUAUCCAUUGGUUGCAUUCACUUUGAUUCGGAGCUAAUUAACAACCGAAAAGUUGGCCGAUGUUUGCCGACUUGGAUUUAAUGGUCAUAUGAGUUGGUGUAACAAUGUGAUACCAAAAAGGUAGUAAUCAAUACAAAUUUUGAGUAGGAAGAGUACUGCAUUCAAAUGAAAUCAAGAAGAAGAUUGUGGAGAAAACUCUCAUUUAAUGGAAGAACAUGACUGCCAAAUACGAGUACCUAAACAUGGUUUGGCAAUUGCCAUCAUCCUAUGCAUCCCUAGGUUACUUAACUGAUUGAUGUAAUUCAUUGAAUAAAAUGGUUAGUUGUUAUUAUCAUGUCAUGUCAUCGUCAUGAUAUUUCUUCCUCUUUUGUGAGUAAUGAGAUUUUUGAAGGAUGGAGAUGACUCUACCUAAAUUCUUAGAUUUUUUUGUUGCUUAUUUUCAUUGUAUUUUGAGUUUUUGACUGUGUCUAACUGUUUAUCUUUUGCAAAGCCAUUUUUUCACCUUAAUUUCAACCCAGCAUCUGUGUGUUGUCCGAUGGGUUAGAAAAUGGGCAAGUUUGAUUGGUGGUUGAUUCCUUUUCUUCAGCAUUUUGGUAACUUGGGCCUAUAAAAUUUAUUUAUAGUAGACAAAAAAAAACUUUUAUUAAAAAAUAUUAUAGUAAAUAUUUGUUUCUUUUCGGAUAAUUGACUUUUAUUUAGCUAAGGAAUAUUUUAUUUGAAAUAUGUCCCAUAUAUACCACUGAAAAUCCAAGGCUUUUUAUGGUUAUUCAUUCUUAAUGGCAUUUCUACUAAAUGCUUUCUAAGAAUCAGAACGCAUGGUGUAUGUCCUACAAUACAAAUGGUGAUAACCUUUGUUUUUGGUGUUACAGCCAUGGAGGAAAAGAGUGAUGAUAUUUUAUUUUCUUGUCACUUCAUACGGUCCAUGGAGGAAAUGUGGAUAGAUCGAAGAUAAGUAAAUCAAGAUUCACAGACUGUGAAAGCGUAUUAAAAGAUGAGAACUUUUUGACUUGGAUUUUUUUUAAUAAAAGUUCUUUGCUUGGAUUUUUUUUUAGUAAAAAUUCUUUGCUUGGAUUUAAGAGAUGAGAUUCAAAGAACUUUUAAGAGAUGCAGCAAACAACCUCAAAAUCCAAGCUCUUUGCUUGUAAGCUUCCUAGCCACUUGUAAACAGAAAAUACGGCUUCUAUGGAGUCCCAAUCUCGGGAAAUGGUCAGGGCAUAUAGACCAGAUGACUCGAAUUGUACAUAUAUUUUUUUCUUUUUUGGUGAAAUAACUCAAAUUCCAUUGAUCAACACAUUUACAGAAAAAAGCAAAUCAACACUAUAGAAAAAUGCAAAUCGGGGCUCUUAUGUACAACCAGCAAGGUUGAAGACUUGAAGUUGAACAAAUUGAUGACUUUGCACAGGAGGAUAUUUGGAAAUUCAUCAACUUGUCCUUGGAACAGCAUAAAGAUGGAGGCCCCCCUUCAUAUGAAGUGUGAACAUUGUCCUGUAAGUUGCAAUUUUCGUAUAAUCAACUAAUUUAAAGCGGAAGAAGCGAAGAAGGGCAAUUGAGACUAUCUUCAUCUACCGGUGAGCAAAAUCCUUGCCUAAGCAAGUUCGAGGACCCGCCUGAAACAUAAUGCAGCAGCUGGAAAAGAUUAAGAUCGUUUGACAACUAUAUAGGCACAUGCAUGUUAUACACAUGGUAGAAAUGGAACAAAGAAUACUAACAUGAAAUGCUAUGAAUUUGAAAGGGGAUUCGGACUGGAAAACUCCAUUGUUAAGCCAUCUUUCUGGUCGAAAAGUGUCGGCAUCUUCUCCCCAAAUGUCAGGCAUUCUACGCAUGGCGUAGGCCAUGUAAUACACCCCGUCUCCUUUCUUGAGUUUGUAGCCAUCGGGGAGAAUGUCAUCCUGCUCUGCAUUCCUUCCAUCCUUGAAGCACAAAGUGAGAACCAUAUCAUAUUCCAGCUGUCGAAAUGCUAAGACUGCAAGAAAAUCUAUGAGUGUCUCAGGCACCUUACAAUGGCGACAGCAGGGUACAGCCUUAAGGUCUCUGUUAUGGCUGCAUGAAGAUAGUGCAUUUGCUCUAGGGUUGAAUCAGUUAUGGUUGUCACGAAAUCAUCAACAUUAUUAGCACCAUUUCUUUUACUACUAGUGACGUCCACCACUUCUUGUGCAAGUUUUUCUUGUAUCAAAGGGUUCUUGCAGAGCAUGUAGAAGAACCAGGACAGAGUAUUCGCAGAAGAAUCUUUGCCAGCGAGUACGAAGUUCAGGAUUAUAUCCCUUAAAUAUUUGUCAUUCAUUGUGUCUGGAUUCUUCUCGCUUUCCACUAAAAAUCUUGAAAGUAUGUCUUCUUUCACAUUCUUGAAGCCAUAAAAAGAAAUAAGAAAAAACAAACCAAUUAUUAGUAAAGUAUAAAUUUCCACGCCAAAAACCAGAUUACCUUAAGCAGUGAGAUUGAAUUCAACAGUGUUCUUGUGACUCUCAAGUCCCACCAUAUUUGUUAGACCAAGAUUGACUAUAAGAAAUUCUUGCAGCAAAAUAUAUAUGGCUCACCAAAUCUCGUUCCAUGCCCAGCAGUUUCCUCUUGGAGCUAAUGACAUCGUGAACAAAGUAUCAACGACUUUGAUAUUCUUUCUGAGGGCAGCUUCAGAGCCAAUGUUAAGAGACCGUUUCAGCUUCCAGAAAGGGUCAACAAAGCGCCUCUCAUUUGAAUCAUCAAAAGCCUUCAUAAAAGUAGUCCCUUCCUUACUUGACCCAUCCAUGCAGUUUAAAUCUAUGCCAAACCCAACUUUGAAUAUGGAAUCUAGAGUGCAUGUCAUUAAUAGAUUCUACAAAUUAAAGUAAACACAGCAUGAAAAACUGAAAAAGGGAAAAUUAGACAAGCAUAAUUGUGAGCAUCUUUAAAGUUUUGGGUUAAUUUGAGGGUCAGAUUUCUCACUUGCAUGUCAAAAGCUUGACCCGACACUUCCAGCUUCGAAAUAACUCCAACCAGUUUGGCAGCGUUCCUUCUGAAAACAGAGCAGCUAAAAUAUUUAAGAACUCUCGUCGAGAACUCGAAGCUUGCCAGCUUCCGCUGCUUCCGCCACUUGUCUCCGUCCACCGCAAAGAUCCCUUGUCCAAAAAGAUCUAUCAGAAUUUCUUGGUUUUGUUUACCCUUACAGUAUCUGUCGAACUUUGUUUUCAAUAUGUACUCUACAUUUCGCGUAUCGACGGUGUAUACUACGCUUAGCCCUAAAGCGAGUUGCCUGUAAGUGGGCUGUUUUUUGGCCGCUUGGGUUUGGUAGUCGUAGAGAUAGUUGAAAUAAAACAACUGGUUGAAAACGCUGCCCUUCACCGGUGGGUUGUCAGGAUUUCCGAUGGAUUUUCCGGUGAAGAUUUUGAUUGUGAGAAAAGAGAAGAUCAGGAAGAGAAUGAGUGGUGGUAAUGACAUCAACAAGAAGAUGGUAGAGAGAAUAUCCAUUUUUCCUUUUUCUAAUGAAUACUCGGAAAGGUUAUAGGCCAUAUAUGCAGAUUCUUGCAUUGGGUUGCAUUCAUUUUUCAACCUACCAACAAAAUCAAACCGUUUUCAUCACCAAUAUCUUUCUCAACAACAAAAUCAUUUGUUUAAUAAUUAUAAUGUUUACACGUGUACGAUUGCCAUUUCAUCAAUUUGAUUUUUCUUGUAAAUUAAGUUGAUGCCACCAUAUCUCAUACUUCAAAAAUUUUAGAGGAUUGUACGGAUAAUCAUAAAUUUAUAAUCAUAAUUAUAAUCUAUUUAACUUCUAAAGUGAAUUAACAUAUAUAACUUUAAUCAAGUAAGCAUGAAAAAAGUGUAUCAUUUAAGUUUGGGUCUUGUUUACGAAUAUUCUAAGAGUUUUUUUAUCGUUAAUUAAAAUAUUAUAAUAAUAUUUUUCUUUUAAAUGUCGUAAUUGACUGGUAGUGCGAUGAUUUUCAAUAUAUCUAAAAUGAUAUUACUCAAUAUAAUAACUUUAAAUAAUAUCAUUAUAACAAUAGUUAGUAAAAGUCAUAAUAUUCAAAAAAGCUUUUAAAUUAUUCAAAAAAUUUAAAAUAAAUCUUACUUUUAUUAUAUUCAAUUAUAUUUUUAUAUUUUUAUUUUAGAUCAAAUAAAUCUUUUAUUUUUAUUUUGAAUCAAAUAAAUCUUUAUAAAUAAUAAUUGACUUAGUUAAAAUGUUAUUUGUCAUUAUAUAUUACGUGACGCUGAUGUAGUAUACUAACAUAUCAUAAUUAAUGAUGAUGUGAUAUGUUGAUUUAUCAUAUUUGAUAAUGAUAUGACAUGCUAGUUUAACCUAAUAACAUGAUGACAUUUUUCAAUCUCUACAUUAAUAUCAUAUUAGUGCCACGUGGAUAUAAAAUGAUAAAAUAUAUUUUGACUAAUGAAAAUUAGUCAAUUAUUAUUAAUAAAAGCUUAUUUGAUCUAAAAUAAAAAUAUAGAGACUUGAUUAAGCGUAACAAAAGAAUAAAAAUUUAUUCGAAUUUUGUUAAAUAGUUUCAGAGCUUAUUUGAGAAAUAUGUGUUAGUAAAACCAUUUAUAUUUAAAUUUUUAUUUUAUUUUUUGAAAAGUAAUUUGUCAUAAACGGAAUAAUGACAUGGCUAUAGAUUAAGCUAGGCUAUAAACUUAUUUCAGCCUUAAAUGAUUAACAAUGAAUAAGGUGCGUCCCCUCUCAAGAAACCCCUAUACAAUAGUUAGGAUAAACCCUUAAAGGAUGGACCUCAGGACCGGGGGCAGCUCAAGUACCUCUUGUGACGACAUGAUAUUCAUUGAAGACUAUUUGGACUUCAAGCGUGUUCAUCCAUUGACAUUGGCAAUUAGUUUCUGCUGGCAUGAACCGUAUGGCGACCACUUGUAUGAUUGUGAUAUAUCAUGCUGUUGAGUGCGAGCUCAACUUUGUUGAAGUACAUUGGUGUCCUUGGUUUUGUUGAAUUCUGACAAUAGACAUCCCAUACCCAAUUCAUAGCAUACAUAUGGCUUUUAUCUUUGUUUAAAUUGAAUUAAGAACAUCCGGAUUCAUUUCAUACUCAUAAGAUCUUAAGAUGAUCAAGAUUUGCACUUAACGGAAGCAAAACUGGCCUGAACUCAAUAUUCAGACAAAAGUAUGGUUCUAGACUCUUUGGUCAGUGAAAGCAACCAUCCAUCAUAUCGAUUCCUUUCGUCCUUUUUGCUUGGUGACAUCAUCCGAUUUACUCAUGUGCAAGGAAAGAUACAAGUAUAUUAACAGUGUGCAUUUGCCUAGUAUAAAGAACUGAGCCACCAGAUGAAACCCUUGGUCAAAUAAGCUAGAAAGACCAAAGUUAAGUCUGACAUCUGUGAAGUGCGCGGACAUGAAGGCCCCCAUCUACAUGAAGAUUGAUCAUCGUCCUGUAGGUGACACAUUUAUUCUCAUCACUCAGUUUGAACGCAAAGCAGUGCACCAGAACAGCUGAGAAGAUCUUCAUCUGCCUAUAAGCAAAUUCCUUGCCUAAACAAAUUCGAGGCCCUGCCUGUAAACCAUUAGAAAAUAAAGUUCAGUAUCUUCACAUCUUUAGCCGGUAAAAUCACACUUGUGAAACAAUAUGAGAGGUUUGAACUUUCAGAAAAAGACUCAGAACCAGAAUCAAAUGCUGUUAUGCUGCUUUUUUACCAUUUUUUUUCUAUUUGAGGUCUUUUUUUACACCAAGUGCCAAUCAGAAUAAAAAUGCUUUGCCCGAUCUGCAAAAGAAGCAUACAACAAUUUCUAAUUUGCAACAUGUUCUGCAUACCUGGAAUGCUGUAAACUUAAAAGGGCUUUCUGGUUGGAACAUCCCCUCCUCAUCAAGGCAUCUCUCUGGUCUGAACUCCUCUGCAUCAUCACCCCAAAUGAAUUUCAUUCUGCCCAUUGCAUAAGGUUCAUAACAAACCAUAUCUCCUUUCCUCACACUGAACCCAUCUGGAAGAGUUUCAUCAGACAAGCAUAUCUUUGCAUCCUGCAAUCAAAGUGAAGAGGUAGUGAGAACCAAAGAAAACCCCAGAACAUAGCAAGGAAGCUAAUUUCUAGCCUUCCCGAUAUGCAUUGAAUGGAUAUCAGUUUAUCGAUGCAUGUUCUUUGAUGUGCAUUAACAAGUUCAGUUGGAGGAUUCAAGAUUCAAGGCAACUUUGCUUACAACUGGAACAGCGGGGUAGAGCCUUAAUGUUUCAGUUAAGGCUGCAUGGAGAUAGUGCAUUUUUCCUAGGGCUUCUUCGCUCAAGAUAGCAGCAAAUUCAGCAAAAUCUUUAACCUCCUUCGUGUCAGUUGCUUCCUUCACUUCUUGUGCAACCUUUUCUUGAACAUCAGGAUGCUUGCAGAGCAUGUAAAUAAACCACGACAGAGUAGCUGUCGUUGUGUCUUUCCCAGCAAUUAUGAAGUUAAGGAUUAUAUCUCGCAAGUAUGUUGGAUCAGUGUCACUCACUUGUAGAAAUCUGGAUAAAAUGUCUUCCUUUUUCAUCUGCAUAAUCUGUAGAAAAUAAUAAUUUCAAUAUUCUACUUCAACAGGUAAUAUAAGCUGUUAACUAUAAGUAGCUCUACUGUUCUAGUUCACUCACUGAAGCUUCAUCCUUUGAGUUGCGUAUUGGCUCAAUCUUGUUGUGGAUCAGCUUAUACACAAAAUUAUCAACCACUUCUAUACUUUUCUUCAGUGUGGCCUCUGAUCCAAUAUUUAGAAAUCUUUUGAUCUUCUAGAAGAUAUCAACAUAUCGGAAGAGGAUUGCUGCACUUGAAUCAUCAAAAGCAGCUGUAAACUGUUUGCCUUCUAAAUUUGAUCCACACAUGCUGUCUAGUUCGACUCCAAAUGCAACUUUGAAUAGUGAAUCUAAAGUCGAUUUCAUAAACAAGUCCUGCACAAUAUAUCGUUAUAACAGAUCCAUUUUAUAUAUCACUCUGCAUUGAUCUUGCCAUUAGGUGAACUUACCUGUAUAUCCAUUAUCUCAUUGGAAUUUGCUGCUUCAGACACUAUAGUUGCAAGUUUUGCCGCAUUUUCCCGAAAGACUACACUGCUGAAAUCUCUCAAGACCUUGGUUGAGAAUUCAUAGCUUGAUACUUUCCUCUGUUGACGCCACUUAUCACCAUCGACAGUGAAAAUCCCAUCACCUAGUAAACCCUUUAGCAAGCUGUAAUUGUACUCACCCUGCACAGAAAAUUAAACAGUUUGGAAAACCAAAACAACUCCACCAUUCUGCCUUUUGGGUGGCCAUAUAAUUAUCAAAAGCCCUCUCAUUCCAACUAAUCACUCUGCGGCAUAUUAGCAUCUACAAUUGACUUACUUGUGGCGAGAUUGAGACCCUUUUUCUUAAUCUAAUUACGGGUGUUUCUGUCUAAGCUACUUACACUAACCAAUCACCGGGAGAGUUCAGAAUUUUCUAGACCAACAAAUUAUUUGUGACUUUGAGGUGUGAAACGAGAGUCGGCACCAUACCUUGCCAUAUUUCUGGAAAUUUGUUUUUAGAAUAUACUCAACAUUGUCUGGUUCCGAGGUAUAAAUCUCAUUCCUGAAAGGGCUAAGCAGCCUGUAGUUCCUGUACUUCCCAGCAAGAUCAGUCAUAUAGUGAUGCAAUCUUCUGAAGUUGAGGAGCUGGUUAAAAACCGUUCCGCCAACGGGAUGGUACUUGGCCUUAUUUUUCCUCUGCCUUUCUCUUAGUUUUGCUGUGAGGAACUGGACGGUGAAAAGGGUCAGGAUUAGACUUAGAACCAAAGCUACCAAGGGAACUGGGUUAGACAGAUCCAUGAAGAUGGAGGUACGUUUGGGAAAGCUGGUCUAUCAAUGUUAGGUGAAGGCUGUAUUAAACUAGAGAAGUCGUUCUGAAAUACUAAUAAUAUCAACGGAGAGAAGUCCUUCUGCCAAGUUAUUCCUCUCAACCAAACGUGUCACAACCUAAUUGGACUACAUUCGGACAAGCCCGAAACGUGGUUCUCUCGAAUUUCACAAGGUGAAAUUUUUGAAAUUGGCAAAAAAUUACUAAUAAAUUUCACCACAACCAGAUAACAAAACAAAGGGUCAUACUUAUUUUUUCCUUAGUUAUGAUGGUAAAGGACAUACAUAUCUGUUCUAUUCGGUUAUUUUGUAGUUAAGUAAAGAGAAUGAUUUUUUAAUUUAAUUUUUAAAUAAAAAUACGUGUAUUUAUCAUGUUAAGUUUAAUAUUCAGAUGAAAAAUUAAUUAGAAUUUUAUUUCAAAGCAUAUGAUACAAUUAAGUAACUUAAGUACAAAGAUGAUUAAGCUUAGCAAACAAGGAAAUGUCAUAUUUCUCAAUCCGAGAGAUAAGAAGCACAGAGCCAAAGGCCCUGCAAAAAGGCAGGGGAGAACUGAAUUGUUGUUUCCUAAAACUUUGCAUUAAGAUCAACAUGACUUUCUAGUCAUUAAAUAUUCUGCUAGAUUUCGAACUUGCAAAUAUGGUCUGUUUUAAUGAAAUUGCAGAAUGUUGUCUCAGGUCUCAACAACUUUGAUUUCACUUCUUUUUCAAGGAAAAAAAAAUGGUUUCACUUAGUUUGCAGAAGUGUCCUGAACUCAAUUUUCAGACAAAAGUAUGGUUCGAGACUCCUUGGUGAGUGAAAGUAAUUCUUCAUCAUAUUUAUUCCUUUAUUUUUCUUUUUGGAUAUCAUUGUAUUUAUUCUUGUGCAAGGACAAGUACAUGCAUACUCAAACCUUGCAAUUGCCCAGCAUACAGAACUGAGCCAACAGAUGAAACCCGUGGUCAAAUAGGCAAGAAAGACUAAGUCUGACAUCUGGGAAAUGCGCGGACAUGAAGGCCCCCAUCUACGUGAAGAGUGAUCAUCGUCCUGUAGGUGACAGAUUUAUUCUCAUCACUCAGUUUGAACACAAAGUAGUGCACCAGAACAGCCGAGAAGAUCUUCAUCUGCCUAUAAGCAAAUUCCUUGCCGAAACAAAUUCGAGGGCCUGCCUGUAAACCAUUAGAAAAUAAAGUUCAGCAUGUUCACAUCUUUAGCCGGUGAAAUCACACUUGUGAAACAAUAUGAGAAGUUUGAACUUUCGGAAAAAGACCCAGAACCAAAAAUCAAAUGCUGUUAUACUGCUUUUUUAGCCUCUUUUUCUAUUUGAGGUUUUAUUUUACACCAAGUGCCAAUCAGAAUAAUAAUGCUUUGGCCGAUCUGGAAACGAAGCGUACAAGAACUUCUAAUUUGUAGUAUGUUCUGCACACCUGGAAUGCUGUAAACUUAAAAUGGCUUUCUGGUUGGAACAUCCCAUCCUCAUCAAGCCAUCUCUCUGGUCUGAACUCCUCUGCAUCAUCACCCCAUAUGAAUUUCAUUCUGCCCAUUGCAUAAGGUUGAUAACAAACCAUAUCUCCUUUCCUCACACUGAACCCAUCUGGAAGAGUAUCAUCAGAAAAGCAUAUCUUUGCAUCCUGCAAUCAAAGUGAAGAGGUAGUGAGAUCCAAAGAAAACCCCAGAACAUAGAAAGGAAGCUAAUUUCUAGCCUUCCCGAUACGCAUUGAAUGGAUAUCAGUUUAUAGAUGCAUGUUCUUUGAUGUGCAUUAACAAGUUCAGUUGGAGGAUUCAAGAUUCAAGGAAACUUUGCUUACAACUGGAACAGCGGGGUAGAGCCUUAAUGUUUCAGUUAAGGCUGCAUGGAGAUAGUGCAUUUUUCCUAGAGCUUCUUCGCUCAAGAUAGCAGCAAAUUCAGCAAAA
This 14365-nucleotide long non-coding RNA is filed under the name Theobroma cacao (cacao). Its description in RNAcentral is "long non-coding RNA (TCAC_LNC000630)". Lineage: Eukaryota; Viridiplantae; Streptophyta; Magnoliopsida; Malvales; Malvaceae. The record is from RNAcentral.